RNAcentral lists this ribosomal RNA (253 nucleotides) under uncultured bacterium. Its description in RNAcentral is "partial 16S ribosomal RNA". It matches the Rfam family "Bacterial small subunit ribosomal RNA", at positions 524 to 776 of the family's 1533-position model. The record is from RNAcentral.
UACGUAGGGGGCAAGCGUUGUCCGGAAUCAUUGGGCGUAAAGCGCGUGUAGGCGGUCCGAUAAGUUCGCUGUGAAAGUCGGGGGCUUAACCCUCGGAUGCCGGUGAAUACUGUCGGGCUUGAGUACGGAAGAGGCGAGUGGAAUUCCUGGUGUAGCGGUGAAAUGCGCAGAUAUCAGGAAGAACACCAAUGGCGAAAGCAGCUCUCUGGGACGGUACUGACGCUGAGGCGCGAAAGCGUGGGGAGCGAACCGG